RNAcentral lists this ribosomal RNA (492 nucleotides) under uncultured bacterium. Its description in RNAcentral is "partial 16S ribosomal RNA". It matches the Rfam family "Bacterial small subunit ribosomal RNA", at positions 29 to 507 of the family's 1533-position model. The record is from RNAcentral.
AGUGAACGCUGGCGGUAGGCCUAACACAUGCAAGUCGAACGGCAGCACAGUAAGAGCUUGCUCUUACGGGUGGCGGGUGGCGGACGGGUGAGGAAUACAUCGGAAUCUACUUUUUCGUGGGGGAUAACGUAGGGAAACUUACGCUAAUACCGCAUACGACCUACGGGUGAAAGCAGGGGAUCUUCGGACCUUGCGCGAUUGAAUGAGCCGAUGUCGGAUUAGCUAGUUGGCGGGGUAAAGGCCCACCAAGGCGACGAUCCGUAGCUGGUCUGAGAGGAUGAUCAGCCACACUGGAACUGAGACACGGUCCAGACUCCUACGGGAGGCAGCAGUGGGGAAUAUUGGACAAUGGGCGCAAGCCUGAUCCAGCCAUACCGCGUGGGUGAAGAAGGCCUUCGGGUUGUAAAGCCCUUUUGUUGGGAAAGAAAAGCGGCAGGUUAAUACCCCGCUGUUCUGACGGUACCCAAAGAAUAAGCACCGGCUAACUUCGUG